RNAcentral lists this ribosomal RNA (159 nucleotides) under uncultured bacterium. RNAcentral's name for it is "partial 16S rRNA". It matches the Rfam family "Bacterial small subunit ribosomal RNA", at positions 355 to 507 of the family's 1533-position model. The record is from RNAcentral.
UAGGGAAUUUUGCGCAAUGGGCGAAAGCCUGACGCAGCGACGCCGCGUGGGUGAUGAAGGCCUUCGGGUUGUAAAGCCCUGUGGGGAGGGACGAAUAAGUGUCGGUUAACACCCGGCGCGAUGACGGUACCUCCUUAGCAAGCACCGGCUAACUCUGUG